Molecule: ribosomal RNA, 427 nt
Filed under: uncultured prokaryote
Description: bacterial SSU rRNA
Rfam family: Bacterial small subunit ribosomal RNA
Source: RNAcentral
UGGGGAAUAUUCCGCAAUGGACGAAAGUCUGACGGAGCAACGCCGCGUGAGUGAUGAAGGUUUUCGGACUGUAAAACUCUGUUGUUUAGGACGAAAGUGCCUGUUGCAAACAGUUGCAGGUAUUGACGGUACUGAACGAGGAAGCCACGGCUAACUACGUGCCAGCAGCCGCGGUAAUACGUAGGUGGCAAGCGUUGUCCGGAAUUAUUGGGCGUAAAGAGCAUGUAGGGGGGAAUCUAAGUCUGUUGUGAAAAUGCGGGGCUCAACCCCGUAUUGCGAUGGAAACUGGGUUUCUUGAGUGCAGGAGAGGAAAGGGGAAUUCCCAGUGUAGCGGUGAAAUGCGUAGAUAUUGGGAGGAACACCAGUGGCGAAGGCGCCUUUCUGGACUGUGUCUGACGCUGAGAUGCGAAAGCUAGGGGAGCGAACG